Molecule: transfer RNA, 89 nt
Filed under: Streptomyces antimycoticus
Lineage: Bacteria; Bacillati; Actinomycetota; Actinomycetes; Kitasatosporales; Streptomycetaceae
Also listed under: 1 other name
Description: tRNA-Thr(agt)
Source: RNAcentral
GCGGGAGCAGCCCGGGACCACGGCUGUGCGCAUAGUCCGCGAGGGCACCGGCGGUGGUGUGCUCGGGUUCGAAUCCCAGGGUCUCGCGC